Molecule: ribosomal RNA, 412 nt
Filed under: uncultured prokaryote
Description: bacterial SSU rRNA
Rfam family: Bacterial small subunit ribosomal RNA
Source: RNAcentral
GUGCCAGCAGCCGCGGUAAUACGAAUGGGGCAAGCGUUGUUCGGAAUCACUGGGCGUAAAGCGUACGUAGGCGGCUAUUCAAGUCAGAAGUGAAAGCCUGGGGCUCAACCCCAGAACUGCUUUUGAAACUGGAUGGCUAGAGUCCCGGAGAGGUUGGCGGAAUUCCGAGUGUAGAGGUGAAAUUCGCAGAUAUUCGGAGGAACACCAGUGGCGUAGGCGGCCAACUGGACGGGAACUGACGCUGAGGUACGAAAGCGUGGGGAGCAAACAGGAUUAGAUACCCUGGUAGUCCACGCCGUAAACGAUGUGUGCUAGUUGUUGGGCCCUCAGGGUUCAGUGACGGAGCUAACGUUUUAAGCACACCGCCUGGGGAGUACGGCCGCAAGGUUAAAACUCAAAUGAAUUGACGGGG